RNAcentral lists this ribosomal RNA (254 nucleotides) under uncultured bacterium. RNAcentral describes it as "partial 16S ribosomal RNA". It matches the Rfam family "Bacterial small subunit ribosomal RNA", at positions 524 to 776 of the family's 1533-position model. The record is from RNAcentral.
UACGUAGGGUGCAAGCGUUGUCCGGAAUUACUGGGCGUAAAGCGCGCGCAGGCGGCCCUUUAAGUCCGUCGGUCAAAUGCCGGGGCUCAACCCCGGGCGUGCCGAGGAUACUGGAGGGCUGGAGACACGUAGAGGCAAGCGGAAUUCCGGGUGUAGCGGUGGAAUGCGUAGAGAUCCGGAAGAACACCGGAGGCGAAGGCGGCUUGCUGGGCGUGAUCUGACGCUGAGGCGCGAAAGCGUGGGGAGCGAACAGG